GGCGAACGCUGGCGGCGUGCUUAACACAUGCAAGUCGAACGCUGAAGCUCAGCUUUUGUUGGGUGGAUGAGUGGCGAACGGGUGAGUAACACGUGAGUAACCUGCCCCCUUCUUUGGGAUAACGCCCGGAAACGGGUGCUAAUACUGGAUAUUCACUGGUCUUCGCAUGGGGGUUGGUGGAAAGGGUUUUUCUGGUGGGGGAUGGGCUCGCGGCCUAUCAGCUUGUUGGGGGGGUGAUGGCCUACCAAGGCUUUGACGGGUAGCCGGCCUGAGAGGGUGACCGGUCACAUUGGGACUGAGAUACGGCCCAGACUCCUACGGGAGGCAGCAGUGGGGAAUAUUGCACAAUGGGCGCAAGCCUGAUGCAGCGACGCCGCGUGAGGGAUGGAGGCCUUCGGGUUGUGAACCUCUUUCGCUCAUGGUCAAGCCGCAACAAUGGUUGUGGUGAGGGUAGUGGGUAAAGAAGCGCCGGCUAACUACGUG
This 483-nucleotide ribosomal RNA is filed under the name uncultured bacterium. RNAcentral's name for it is "partial 16S ribosomal RNA". It matches the Rfam family "Bacterial small subunit ribosomal RNA", at positions 28 to 507 of the family's 1533-position model. The record is from RNAcentral.